Molecule: long non-coding RNA, 415 nt
Filed under: Ananas comosus (pineapple)
Lineage: Eukaryota; Viridiplantae; Streptophyta; Magnoliopsida; Poales; Bromeliaceae
Description: long non-coding RNA (ACOM_LNC032861)
Source: RNAcentral
AUUUUUUAAAGGGAAAACUUCAAAAACCCCUUCUGUGGUUUCGUAGUUUCUUAUUUUGCUCCCCUGUGGUUUAAAAUAUAUCAAAUUGCCCCCCUGUGGUUUCGUUUUUAUCUUUUCGGUAGCUUUUUCGUUAAUAUUUCAUUAAAUUAUAUACAAAAAACUUCAGAUACCCAUCUAGAUUUAUCAAAUAUUUACUUUAAUACCCUUUAAUUUUAACUUUAUCACUGAUUUAAAAAAAAAAAUAAUAAAAUUGAUAAGAAAAAGAGAAAAAAAAAAAUCACAGGGGGGCAAAUUGAUACAUUGUAAACUACAGCGGGAAAAGUGAGAAACUACGAAAUUACAGGAGUUUUUUUGGAAGUUUUUCCUUUUUAAAAUAUUAGGAAACGAGAACUCGGAAUUUUGUUUUUUUGUUAAG